GACCCAGUUGUCAAGUCCGGUUAAGACAUAACACUUUCACUGUUACAUGCGAGAGUUCAAAUCUCUCCUGGGUUA
This 75-nucleotide transfer RNA is filed under the name Protoblastenia rupestris. RNAcentral describes it as "tRNA-Glu". It matches the Rfam family "tRNA". From Rfam's summary of the family: Transfer RNA (tRNA) molecules are approximately 80 nucleotides in length. Their secondary structure includes four short double-helical elements and three loops (D, anti-codon, and T loops). Further hydrogen bonds mediate the characteristic L-shaped molecular structure. tRNAs have two regions of fundamental functional importance: the anti-codon, which is responsible for specific mRNA codon recognition, and the 3' end, to which the tRNAs corresponding amino acid is attached (by aminoacyl-tRNA synthetases). tRNAs cope with the degeneracy of the genetic code in two manners: having more than one tRNA (with a specific anti-codon) for a particular amino acid; and 'wobble' base-pairing, i.e. permitting non-standard base-pairing at the 3rd anti-codon position. Lineage: Eukaryota; Fungi; Ascomycota; Lecanoromycetes; Lecanorales; Psoraceae. The record is from RNAcentral. RNAcentral also lists the same sequence under 4 other names.